RNAcentral lists this transfer RNA (62 nucleotides) under Ernobius pini. RNAcentral describes it as "tRNA-Arg". The record is from RNAcentral. Lineage: Eukaryota; Metazoa; Arthropoda; Insecta; Coleoptera; Ptinidae.
AAGUAAGAAACGAAAAAUCGUAUUUAAUUUCGACUUAAAAUCUUGGCCUAGGCCCUUACUUU